Molecule: ribosomal RNA, 620 nt
Filed under: uncultured bacterium
Lineage: Bacteria
Description: bacterial SSU rRNA
Rfam family: Bacterial small subunit ribosomal RNA
Source: RNAcentral
GAUUACUGGGCUUAAAGAGUUCGUAGGUGGUUGAAAAAGUUAGUGGUGAAAUCCCAGAGCUUAACUCUGGAACUGCCAUUAAAACUUUUCAGCUAGAGUAUGAUAGAGGAAAGCAGAAUUUCUAGUGUAGAGGUGAAAUUCGUAGAUAUUAGAAAGAAUACCAAUUGCGAAGGCAGCUUUCUGGAUCAUUACUGACACUGAGGAACGAAAGCAUGGGUAGCGAAGAGGAUUAGAUACCCUCGUAGUCCAUGCCGUAAACGAUGUGUGUUAGACGUUGGAAAUUUAUUUUCAGUGUCGCAGCGAAAGCGAUAAACACACCGCCUGGGGAGUACGACCGCAAGGUUAAAACUCAAAUGAAUUGACGGGGACCCGCACAAGUAGUGGAGCAUGUGGUUUAAUUCGAAGAUACGCGCAGAACCUUACCAACACUUGACAUGUUCGUCGCAACUCUAAGAGAUUAGAGUUUUCGGUUCGGCCGGACGAAACACAGGUGCUGCAUGGCUGUCAUCAGCUCGUGUCCUGAGAUGAUGGGUUAAGUCCCCGCAACGAGCGCAACCCCUCACUUUUAGUUGCCAUCAUUUAAGUUGGGCACUCUGAAAAGAACUGCCAGUGAUAAGCUG